UGAGAAGUGGAGAGUCCUUCUUAAUGAAGGCUCUUAACUAUUACACAUUACCUUAAAUUCCCAAUUAGUUCUCCUAUGAUUUGAUAUCAAAUUUAAUUUAAAUUUUUAUGACAUAUAGAUAACUAGGAGUCUUUCUACUCUAAGUAUUUGAAUCACUAAAAAUUCACUUGGUGAAUUUAUUUGGCACAUGGGAAUUUGGAGUGCCAAAGGUUGGCACCCCAUGGUCUCAUGUGAUGUCCCUUGGUUCCCUAUUCAUAGAGGACACCCC
Molecule: long non-coding RNA, 268 nt
Filed under: Elaeis guineensis (African oil palm)
Lineage: Eukaryota; Viridiplantae; Streptophyta; Magnoliopsida; Arecales; Arecaceae
Description: long non-coding RNA (EGUI_LNC069020)
Source: RNAcentral